AGCAGCCGCGGUAAUUCCAGCUCCAAUAGCGUAUAUUAAAGUUGUUGCAGUUAAAAAGCUCGUAGUUGAAUUUCGGGAUCAGUAAGCCGGUCGUACCUUCGGUAUGUACUGGUGUCACUGAUUCCUCCCUUCUGAUGAACCGUUAUACCAUUUAGUUGGUGUGGCGGGGAAUCAGGACUGUUACUUUGAAAAAAUUAGAGUGUUUAAAGCAAGCUACGCGCUUGAAUACAUUAGCAUGGAAUAAUAAAAUAGGACGUUUGAUCUCCUAUUUUGUUGGUUUCUAGGAUCGACGUAAUGAUUAAUAGGGAUAGUUGGGGGCAUUAGUAUUCAAUUGU
This 335-nucleotide ribosomal RNA is filed under the name uncultured Glomus. Its description in RNAcentral is "bacterial SSU rRNA". It matches the Rfam family "Eukaryotic small subunit ribosomal RNA", at positions 569 to 905 of the family's 1831-position model. Lineage: Eukaryota; Fungi; Glomeromycota; Glomeromycetes; Glomerales; Glomeraceae. The record is from RNAcentral.